RNAcentral lists this ribosomal RNA (253 nucleotides) under uncultured bacterium. RNAcentral's name for it is "partial 16S ribosomal RNA". It matches the Rfam family "Bacterial small subunit ribosomal RNA", at positions 524 to 776 of the family's 1533-position model. The record is from RNAcentral.
GACGUAGGGGGCCAGCGUUGCUCGGAUUUAUUGGGCGUAAAGGGUGCGUAGGCGGUUUGGCAAGUCUUAUGUGAAAUCUUCGGGCUCAACCCGAAGCCUGCAUAAGAAACUGCCGGGCUUGAGUAUUGGAGAGGUGAGUGGAAUUUCCGGUGUAGCGGUGAAAUGCGUAGAUAUCGGAAGGAACACCUGUGGCGAAAGCGGCUCACUGGACAAUAACUGACGCUGAGGCACGAAAGCUAGGGGAGCAAACAGG